UGAUCCAGUCUAACUGAGCUUCCAGUGCU
RNAcentral lists this non-coding RNA (29 nucleotides) under Mus musculus (house mouse). The record is from RNAcentral. Lineage: Eukaryota; Metazoa; Chordata; Mammalia; Rodentia; Muridae.